CUUGCUUCUGUUUUGUGUGUGCCGAAAUUCAGUAGGAUCUGGCAGCUGGUCAUCAACGACACCUAACUACAGCAAAUUAAACACCAUUCAGUCUAGGAUUCGUGUCCAAAUAUCCGAGCAUCAAACACUUUAGUCGGCCAUCAAUCAUUCUAGAACAACAUUUGUCUAAUCCAUACUCUAGGAACCUUGUGAACAACCUGCAGCUGUGGAAUGCAUGCCGAAGGUGAAAGUGGGUUACUUAGUAUAUCUUAUUGUAUACAAGCUCUCCAACAAAACUAAUACCAACAGAAAGAUGGACCAGUUAGCAGUGUCAUAGGAGUAGAUCAGUAUUUCAUGGGAAGCAUGCUUUAGUGUGCUAGGGCUGUGUGUAUUGAGAUAACACAUCAUGUGGCUGGCUCAAGUAGGUUGUCUCGGUCUGAUAAUAUCCUGUUUUACUGUCAUGUCAUGCCUAAUAUAAUUUAUCACAGUUUACCAGAUAUAAACAUCAACAGACAAGACAACC
This is a long non-coding RNA of Corticium candelabrum, 502 nucleotides long. RefSeq lists it as uncharacterized. The transcript has 3 exons. The record is from RefSeq and is a predicted model, not a curated record. Lineage: Eukaryota; Metazoa; Porifera; Homoscleromorpha; Homosclerophorida; Plakinidae.